RNAcentral lists this ribosomal RNA (735 nucleotides) under uncultured bacterium #0319-7G4. RNAcentral describes it as "bacterial SSU rRNA". It matches the Rfam family "Bacterial small subunit ribosomal RNA", at positions 165 to 885 of the family's 1533-position model. Lineage: Bacteria; Bacillati; Bacillota. The record is from RNAcentral.
AAUACCGAAUAGUUUUGGUUCCUUNNUGGGACCCAACGGAAAGACGGUNUCGGCUGUCACUGCAGGAUGGGCCCGCGGCGCAUUAGCUAGUUGGUGGGGUAACGGCCCACCAAGGCGACGAUGCGUAGCCGACCUGAGAGGGUGAUCGGCCACACUGGGANUGAGACACGGCCCAGANUCCUACGGGAGGCAGCAGUAGGGAAUUUUCCNCAAUGGACGCAAGUCUGACGGAGCAACGCCGCGUNAGUGACGNAGGUUUUCGGAUNGUNAAACUCUGUUGUGAGNGAAGAAACCGUACCAAUUAANUACUGGUACCUUGACGGUACCUCACCAGAAAGCCACGGCUAAUUACGUGCCAGCAGCCGCGNUAAUACGUAGGUGGCAAGCGUUGUCCGGAAUUAUUGGGCGUAAAGCGCGCGCAGGCGGUCCUUUAAGUCUGAUGUGAAAGCCCACGGNUCAACCGUGGAGGGUCAUUGGAAACUGGAGGACUUGAGUGCAGAAGAGGAAAGUGGAAUUCCACGUGUAGCGGUGAAAUGCGUAGAGAUGUGGAGGAACACCAGUGGCGAAGGCGACUUUCUGGUCUGUAACUGACGCUGAGGCGAGAAAGCGUGGGGAGCAAACAGGAUUAGGUACCCUGGUAGUCCACGCCGUAAACGUUGGGCGCUAGGUGUGGGGCUCAUUCCACGAGUUCCGUGCCGCAGCUAACGCAUUAAGCGCCCCGCCUGGCGAGUACGG